Molecule: ribosomal RNA, 433 nt
Filed under: uncultured bacterium
Lineage: Bacteria
Description: partial 16S ribosomal RNA
Rfam family: Bacterial small subunit ribosomal RNA
Source: RNAcentral
AACGAACGCUGGCGGCAUGCCUAACACAUGCAAGUCGAACGAACCCUUCGGGGGUAGUGGCGCACGGGUGCGUAACGCGUGGGAAUCUGCCCUUUGCUUCGGAAUAACUCAGGGAAACUUGUGCUAAUACCGGAUGAUGUCUUCGGACCAAAGAUUUAUCGGCAAGGGAUGAGCCCGCGUAGGAUUAGGUAGUUGGUGGGGUAAAGGCCUACCAAGCCGACGAUCCUUAGCUGGUCUGAGAGGAUGAUCAGCCACACUGGGACUGAGACACGGCCCAGACUCCUACGGGAGGCAGCAGUGGGGAAUAUUGGACAAUGGGCGCAAGCCUGAUCCAGCAAUGCCGCGUGAGUGAUGAAGGCCCUCGGGUCGUAAAGCUCUUUUACCAGGGAUGAUAAUGACAGUACCUGGAGAAUAAGCUCCGGCUAACUCCGUG